AUCCAAGGAUGGCAGCAGGCGCGCAAAUUACCCAAUCCCGACACGGGGAGGUAGUGACAAUAAAUAACAAUACGGGGUUCUUUAGGAUCUCGUAAUUGGAAUGAGUACAAUUUAAAUCUCUUAACGAGGAACAAUUGGAGGGCAAGUCUGGUGCCAGCAGCCGCGGUAAUUCCAGCUCCAAUAGCGUAUAUUAAAGUUGUUGCAGUUAAAAAGCUCGUAGUUGAAUUUCGGGGUUAGUAGGUUGGUCAUGCCUCUGGUAUGUACUGGUCUCANNGAUUCCUCCUUCCUUAUGAACCGUAAUGCCAUUAAUUUGGUGUUGCGGGGAAUUUGGACUGUUACUUUGAAAAAAUUAGAGUGUUUAAAGCAAGCUAACGCUUGAAUACAUUAGCAUGGAAUAAUGAAAUAGGACGUUCGAUCUUAUUUUGUUGGUUUCUAGGAUUGACGUAAUGAUUAAUAGGGAUAGUUGGGGGCAUUAGUAUUCAAUUGUCAGAGGUGAAAUUCUUGGAUUUAUUGAAGACUAACUACUGCGAAAGCAUUUGCCAAGGAUGUUUUCAUUAAUCAAGAACGAAAGUUAGGGGAUCGAAGACGAUCAGAUACCGUCGUAGNNNUAACCAUAAACUAUGCCGACUAGGG
This 633-nucleotide ribosomal RNA is filed under the name uncultured fungus. RNAcentral's name for it is "SSU rRNA". It matches the Rfam family "Eukaryotic small subunit ribosomal RNA", at positions 414 to 1051 of the family's 1831-position model. The record is from RNAcentral. Lineage: Eukaryota; Fungi.